GAACAUUUGGUGUGGAAAUAUUUUUAUUUUAUUGGUUAAAACAGCAUAAUACUCUUCAAAGACAAAAUUCAGUGAAAACGUCAAGCUGUUUACUUUGCAAAGGAAAAGGUUUAGUUUUUUCCAGAUUCAGGCAAUGGAUUUGCUUUACCAUCAAGCUUGGACUUAGCCAUCUGGAACUAAAAGAAAAAAAUUUGCUGUCAUACAUUUGUUAGCGAAUGUUCUGCAUGUUUUGUAUGAUUCCAUGUUCAAUCAACACGGUUGGAUCACGUGUGAGAAAACUACACAGGAAAGUGUACAUUUGGCAACCAAGCACCAACCUAACUCUACAUAUAGGCUCUAGUGCAGUGAUCUGUGCCACAUGCUCCAAAGUGCACAAUACAAUUCCAUGUUGUUUAUAAUCUGAGCACAAAUUAAUGCACACAGGGUUGCAUUUGGUGCCUUAAUCACAGGACAGGCUCCAGCCCCCGUGUACGCCUCAAAUGGACUAAGCAGGUAUAGAAAACGAAGACUCUGGGCAUUUUGGGUAAAACAAAUCUGUGCAUCAGCAACUGGUGCAUUUCUCAAUUGUUCACCACAGCUCCCUGAGGUGAAGCAUUGAAGCACCCACGGCAACUCCCAUCACCAAAUCUCCAACAUACCUGCACCAUCCCAUGACCAGCCUGAUGUGGGGAAAAAUAUGGUACAAACCAGUUAAGCCCUGGGUGGACCAAAUAAUAAAGCCAUGAGUAAUGAGCCACGUAUGGAUUUGACAGAAAUUUCAGUGAUUAUUCGAAUAAUGAGCCACAUAUAUGAUGUUCUUCUGAAGGAAUUGCAGGAAACAGAUGUUAAAAAAGAUUAGAAGGGCUUUCUUAGAGUGGAACUUGCUCUGUUGCAGGUAGCCUGUCCUGUCCUCAUAGCUGCCAGGUACUCGGAUAACGGGCCUCUAACAGCCUCGUACUCACCACUAACAUGUCUCCAACAUCCUUGUUUGUCCUCCUAGUAUCUCGUUCAUAAAAUUAGCACCAUGCUCAGAGAAAGAGCUUCGUUAGCCGAAUAAUCUGCCUCUAAUAGCCACUAUUCUCCAACGUUUCUUGAAUAACAACACACACAAAAAAACUUCACGCUAUGUGGCUCAUUAUUCAUCAUUUGGUCUGACCAGUGCUUUAGUUUUGUUUCCAAUAAACUUUUGCUGUCACGUGAUGUUCCAAAGUGCACCCUUGUGUGUUCAAAGGAGUGCACACGACGUGAGCCCACAAAUUUAAGGCAGAACUGAUAAGUGCUCAUUGUUACACUAGGUUUUUUGUGGUCUAUGGUGCCACCGCCUUCUGCUUCCAUGAUAGCAAUGUACCAGCACUGUGCCUGCCCACACCUCAUUUAGGACUGAUGGAGCAGUACGUGUUUACAUGAGAAUGAACGAAUCUGUGUCAGGAACAGAGUCUGCGUAUUUGAGAUGAGUAGUUUCACAUUUAUGACAUUAAAAUAUUUUACGUACCAUUUAAAAAAAUUUUUACGAUUGUGCAAAAUCAUAGAAUCACAAAAACAAAACUAGAGCUCCGACUCACAAUUCAUGUAACCUUCAAUCAAUUAUACUUUCUAAGCCGAAAAUACCCAUGUUGCCCAGACCCAAAUGUGCCAUCUUCAGUAGUUUUCUCUCUCUAAAAGUUAAGAUACCUCACAGUAAUAUUUCAACAAAUUAAAAAGAAAAGCUGAAACAGGUACAAGUUUGAGCUUUUUGUUUCUUCAGUAAACUCCUCUCUUAGGACACCUUCACAUUUGUUUGGUUGUCAGACUGUGGAUAUAAAAUUUUACAUGCAUGCCAAAGACGUUCAGGUCAACGUGCACAUCAUCCUGACACGCAGCUUGCUGUAUUUGGAACAGAUUGUUUUGCAUUUAGGAACAGAGGCUUUUUAUCAGAAUGACGUGCGCCUCACUGCACCCUCAACCUCCAGCUGAUGAGCUGUACAGUGAAAGAAGAUGAUCCACUGAUUGACAGGUGCGUUCAGGUGUUGGGACUGAGCCAUGACAAAAUAACAUGAGAAGAGUGGAUUAGAGUUGGAAUCUGGGGGCUGAGAUAGGCUCCAGGUCCCCAUGACUUUUAACUGGAAUAAGCAAGUUCAGAAAAUGAAGGAAUGAAAAACAAUGGCAAAGGUGUGGGUGCUCAAAAAAAAAAAAAAAAAC
This is a long non-coding RNA of Thalassophryne amazonica, 2157 nucleotides long. RefSeq lists it as uncharacterized. The record is from RefSeq and is a predicted model, not a curated record. NCBI's taxonomy places the organism in Eukaryota, Metazoa, Chordata, Actinopteri, Batrachoidiformes, Batrachoididae. The transcript is spliced from 2 exons.